This 250-nucleotide ribosomal RNA is filed under the name uncultured bacterium. RNAcentral's name for it is "partial 16S ribosomal RNA". It matches the Rfam family "Bacterial small subunit ribosomal RNA", at positions 524 to 776 of the family's 1533-position model. The record is from RNAcentral.
UACAGAGGGUGCAAGCGUUGUUCGGAAUCAUUGGGCGUAAAGGGCGUGUAGGCGGUCUGUUAAGUCAUGUGUGAAAUCCCUCGGCUCAACCGGGGAACGACGCAUGAAACUGACAAGCUAGAGUACCAAAGAGGGGGGUGGAAUUCCUGGUGUAGCGGUGAAAUGCGUAGAUAUCUGGAGGAACACCGGUGGCGAAGGCGACGCCUGGACCGGCAUUGACGUUGAGGCGCGAAAGCCAGGGAGCAACGGG